This 504-nucleotide ribosomal RNA is filed under the name uncultured bacterium. Its description in RNAcentral is "bacterial SSU rRNA". It matches the Rfam family "Bacterial small subunit ribosomal RNA", at positions 21 to 502 of the family's 1533-position model. The record is from RNAcentral.
GGCUCAGAACGAACGUUGGCGGCGUGCUUAACACAUGCAAGUCGAACGAGAACGUCCCGGCUUGCCGGGAUUAGUAAAGUGGCGCACGGGUGAGUAACACGUGAGUAAUUUCCCUCUAAGCUUGGGAUAACACUGCGAAAGCGGUGCUAAUACCGAAUAAGACCACGGUAUCACAUGAUACAGUGGGAAAAGGUGGCCUCUGUAUAUGCUAUCACUUGGAGAUAAGCUCGCGGACCAUUAGCUUGUUGGUAGGGUAACGGCCUACCAAGGCCAAGAUGGUUAGCUGGUCUGAGAGGAUGAUCAGCCACACUGGAACUGAGACACGGUCCAGACUCCUACGGGAGGCAGCAGUGGGGAAUAUUGCGCAAUGGGGGAAACCCUGACGCAGUGACGCCGUGUGAGUGAUGAAGGUUUUCGGAUCGUAAAGCUCUGUCAGAUGGGAAGAAUAAAGGCAGGGAAAAUAUUUCUGCCUGAUGACGUACCAUCAGAGAAGCACCGCUAACU